RNAcentral lists this long non-coding RNA (206 nucleotides) under Lathyrus oleraceus (garden pea). RNAcentral's name for it is "Pisum sativum (pea) long non-coding RNA (PSAT_LNC020298)". The record is from RNAcentral. Lineage: Eukaryota; Viridiplantae; Streptophyta; Magnoliopsida; Fabales; Fabaceae.
AAUCGUGGGAGACCUCGGAGACAAACUAGCGUACCUGGAUGUGGAACAGGGGGACGUUAUAAUCAGGCCGAUCAUUAGUUUAUUGUCAGUUCAAUGUAACCAAUUAUUACAUUAUCAAUAAAUUUAUUUUUUUCCAUUACUAUUUUUUAUUUAUUAAAUAAAUAAAAUUAAAAUUAAAAAAAAUUAAAAAAAUUAAAAAAAUUCAA